CACGACUCUCGGCAACGGAUAUCUCGGCUCUCGCAUCGAUGAAGAACGUAGCGAAAUGCGAUACCUGGUGUGAAUUGCAGAAUCCCGCGAACCAUCGAGUCUUUGAACGCAAGUUGCGCCCGAGGCCACCCGGUCGAGGGCACGCCUGCCUGGGCGUCACGCCA
Molecule: ribosomal RNA, 164 nt
Filed under: Brachypodium distachyon (stiff brome)
Lineage: Eukaryota; Viridiplantae; Streptophyta; Magnoliopsida; Poales; Poaceae
Description: 5.8S ribosomal RNA
Rfam family: 5.8S ribosomal RNA
About the family: 5.8S ribosomal RNA (5.8S rRNA) is a component of the large subunit of the eukaryotic ribosome. It is transcribed by RNA polymerase I as part of the 45S precursor that also contains 18S and 28S rRNA. Functionally, it is thought that 5.8S rRNA may be involved in ribosome translocation.
Source: RNAcentral